GUCUGUUUGAAGUUAUAGAAAGUCUAACCUGCCCACUGAUAAGAAUUUUAAGGGCCGCGGUAUUAUGACUGUGCAAAGGUAGCAAAAUCAUUAGGUUUUUAAAUGAGAUCUUGUAUGAAUGGUUGGACAAAGGAAAAGCUGUCUUUAUUUUAGAAUUUGAAUUUUACUUUUAAGUGAGAAGGCUUAAAUGGUUUAGAGGGACGAUAAGACCCUAUAAAGCUUUACAUUGAAAGUUAUAUUAAUUGAAAUUUGAAAAUAAAAAUUAAUAUAAUUGUUUGUUAUAUUGGGGAGAUAAGGGUAAAAAUAAUGUUAACUGCUUUAAAUAAAAUACAUUUAUUUAUGGUGAAUUAUUAUGCAUCCUUUUAUAAAUAAAGAGUGAAAGAUUAAGUUACUUUAGGGAUAACAGUGUAAUUUUUUUUAAGAGUUCAUAUCGAAAAAAGAGUUUGCAACCUCGAUGUUGAAUUAAAAUAUCUAUAUAAUGUAGCUGUUAUAUAAGAGGGUCUGUUCGACCUUU
Molecule: ribosomal RNA, 514 nt
Filed under: Parathelphusa sabari
Lineage: Eukaryota; Metazoa; Arthropoda; Malacostraca; Decapoda; Gecarcinucidae
Description: partial 16S ribosomal RNA
Rfam family: Bacterial large subunit ribosomal RNA
Source: RNAcentral